CAGUAGCCGCGGUAAUACGUAGGUGGCAAGCGUUGUCCGGAAUUAUUGGGCGUAAAGGGCUCGCAGGCGGUUUCUUAAGUCUGAUGUGAAAGCCCCCGGCUCAACCGGGGAGGGUCAUCGGAAACUGGGAAACUUGAGUGCAGAAGAGGAGAGUGGAAUUCCACGUGUAGCGGUGAAAUGCGUAGAGAUGUGGAGGAACACCAGUGGCGAAGGCGACUCUCUGGUCUGUAACUGACGCUGAGGAGCGAAAGCGUGGGGAGCGAACAGGAUUAGAGACCCCAGUAGUCCCUGUCUCUUAUAC
This 301-nucleotide ribosomal RNA is filed under the name uncultured bacterium. RNAcentral's name for it is "partial 16S ribosomal RNA". It matches the Rfam family "Bacterial small subunit ribosomal RNA", at positions 509 to 807 of the family's 1533-position model. The record is from RNAcentral.